GAUGAACGCUGGCGGCGUGCCUAAUACAUGCAAGUCGAGCUAACGGACGAGAAGCUUGCUUCUCUGAUGUUAGCGGCGGACGGGUGAGUAACACGUGGAUAACCUACCUAUAAGACUGGGAUAACUUCGGGAAACCGGAGCUAAUACCGGAUAAUAUUUUGAACCGCAUGGUUCAAAAGUGAGAGACGGUCUUGCUGUCACUUAUAGAUGGAUCCGCGCUGCAUUAGCUAGUUGGUAAGGUAACGGCUUACCAAGGCAACGAUGCAUAGCCGACCUGAGAGGGUGAUCGGCCACACUGGAACUGAGACACGGUCCAGACUCCUACGGGAGGCAGCAGUAGGGAAUCUUCCGCAAUGGGCGGAAGCCUGACGGAGCAACGCCGCGUGAGUGAUGAAGGUCUUCGGAUCGUAAAACUCUGUUAUUAGGGAAGAACAUAUGUGUAAGUAACUGUGCACAUCUUGACGGUACCUAAUCAGAAAGCCACGGCUAACUACGUG
RNAcentral lists this ribosomal RNA (497 nucleotides) under uncultured bacterium. Its description in RNAcentral is "partial 16S ribosomal RNA". It matches the Rfam family "Bacterial small subunit ribosomal RNA", at positions 28 to 507 of the family's 1533-position model. The record is from RNAcentral.